Molecule: non-coding RNA, 54 nt
Organism: Salmo salar (Atlantic salmon)
Lineage: Eukaryota; Metazoa; Chordata; Actinopteri; Salmoniformes; Salmonidae
Source: Rfam
GGUGCACAUUUGUGUAAGUCGCUCUGGAUAAGAGCGUCUGCUAAAUGACGUAAA